Molecule: long non-coding RNA, 199 nt
Filed under: Carica papaya (papaya)
Lineage: Eukaryota; Viridiplantae; Streptophyta; Magnoliopsida; Brassicales; Caricaceae
Description: long non-coding RNA (CPAP_LNC005162)
Source: RNAcentral
ACACUGUCUAUUACGCCUUCUAACAGGUCUCAAGUUUUUUAAAUUUUUUAUGUAGAAUUCAAAACACUCGUUAUUUACCUAAAAAUACCCCAAAAAUCCAAAAUUAGUGUCCAAAACUCUUUUUGGUCAAUUUUGGAAUUUUGGCACGGCGGCGGCGUCGUGCUCUAGCACUGGCUCCGCUGUCCGCAGCGGCGAUUCU